RNAcentral lists this long non-coding RNA (412 nucleotides) under Phascolarctos cinereus (koala). RNAcentral describes it as "lncRNA (ENSPCIG00000016917.2)". Lineage: Eukaryota; Metazoa; Chordata; Mammalia; Diprotodontia; Phascolarctidae. The record is from RNAcentral.
UCUAUUAUUCUAGGAUGCAUAAAUCUAAAAAGAGAGAAGAUCCAAAUAAAGUGAUUUUAGAGGUUCAGACCACUGAAAUUGCAGAAACAGAUACAGCACAGCAAGAAGACAUGACUUCAACUUCUCCAAUAACUACUAAGUCUGAGGUGGUGACUCCUAGUGUUUCAGUACGUGAAGUACGAUUUUCAGGUUCUACUGAACACCAUGUAAUUGAGUACACAGUUUCUGAAGAAUCAAAUUUGCAGGAAGAGGAAGAUGAAAGGGAGCAAAAAGGAGAAAAGAAGCAAAUACCUAAUUAUCUGAGGAAAGAUUUUGGGAACCGUGUUAGAUAUGACCCAACAGGAAUCAUUACAUAUUAAACAUGAUGGAGAAUAUGUAUAUGGACUUCUAAGAAAUAGAAACAAUUGCCGAG